Molecule: transfer RNA, 77 nt
Filed under: Gammaproteobacteria bacterium
Lineage: Bacteria; Pseudomonadati; Pseudomonadota; Gammaproteobacteria
Description: tRNA-Arg
Rfam family: tRNA
About the family: Transfer RNA (tRNA) molecules are approximately 80 nucleotides in length. Their secondary structure includes four short double-helical elements and three loops (D, anti-codon, and T loops). Further hydrogen bonds mediate the characteristic L-shaped molecular structure. tRNAs have two regions of fundamental functional importance: the anti-codon, which is responsible for specific mRNA codon recognition, and the 3' end, to which the tRNAs corresponding amino acid is attached (by aminoacyl-tRNA synthetases). tRNAs cope with the degeneracy of the genetic code in two manners: having more than one tRNA (with a specific anti-codon) for a particular amino acid; and 'wobble' base-pairing, i.e. permitting non-standard base-pairing at the 3rd anti-codon position.
Source: RNAcentral
GCGCCCGUAGCUCAUCUGGAUAGAGCACCAGCCUUCUAAGUUGGUGGUAGCAGGUUCGAGUCCUGCCGGGCGCGCCA